Chiroxiphia lanceolata (lance-tailed manakin) is the source of this 97-nucleotide long non-coding RNA. RefSeq lists it as uncharacterized. The transcript is spliced from 3 exons. The record is from RefSeq and is a predicted model, not a curated record. Lineage: Eukaryota; Metazoa; Chordata; Aves; Passeriformes; Pipridae.
AAUUCUGUGUUCAGAUUUGGGCCCCUCACUCACUAUAGAAAAGACAUUGAGAUGCUGGAGCGUGUCCAGAGGAGGGCAACGAGCCAGGCACCAUCCC